Molecule: long non-coding RNA, 294 nt
Filed under: Homo sapiens (human)
Lineage: Eukaryota; Metazoa; Chordata; Mammalia; Primates; Hominidae
Description: HSALNT0002098
Source: RNAcentral
CAUUUUACAUCUCCAAUUCCACUCUCCAGAGGUAAUACAUACUCUUUGUAAAAAUAUUAAAAGAAUACAGGAGAGUAUCAAGUAAAAAAGUAGAAGUCCCCCCUCAUUUUACAUCUCCAAUUCCACUCUCCAGAGGUAAUCAUUGUUUUUGUUUUGUUUUUUUUCAAAUGGAGUCUCGCUCUGUUGCACAGGCUGGAGUACAGUGGCUUGAUCUCAGCUCACUGCAACCUGCGCCUCCCGGGUUCAAGCAAUUCUCCUGCCUCAGCCUCCUAACUAGCUGGGAUUACAGGCAUG